This 253-nucleotide ribosomal RNA is filed under the name uncultured bacterium. RNAcentral's name for it is "partial 16S ribosomal RNA". It matches the Rfam family "Bacterial small subunit ribosomal RNA", at positions 524 to 776 of the family's 1533-position model. The record is from RNAcentral.
UACAGAGGGGGCUAGCGUUGUUCGGAAUUACUGGGCUUAAAGCGCAUGUAGGCGGCCUGCCAAGUCAGGAGUGAAAUCCCAGGGCUUAACCCUGGAAUUGCUUUUGAUACUAGCAGGCUGGAAGAUGGUAGAGGAUAAUGGAAUUCUUAGUGUAGGAGUGAAAUCCGUAGAUAUUAAGAGGAACACCAGUGGCGAAGGCGGUUAUCUGGGCCAUUCUUGACGCUGAGAUGCGAAAGUGUGGGGAGCAAACAGG